RNAcentral lists this long non-coding RNA (2893 nucleotides) under Marmota monax (woodchuck). The record is from RNAcentral. Lineage: Eukaryota; Metazoa; Chordata; Mammalia; Rodentia; Sciuridae.
GUGUAGCCCAGUGGUAGAACACUUACCUAGCAUGUGUAGGACUAUGGGUUUGGUCCCCAUCACCCCAGAGAGAGAGUAGGGUGGGGCAGGAAACCAACCUUGUACCUAAGAAAUUCAGGAAAGCCAUUAGGCAAGUCACCUUCUGUGUGUCCAAGUGAGCAGGCACAACUCUGUUCUGUCCAGAAGUAGGUGCAACAGUAAUCUCAGUACCCCCAUGUGGGCAUCCGUAGGAGUGGCCAAAGUGGAGAAAGGUUCACCUUUGAGUGGGCUCCCUUUUGGGUGCAUUCAUUGUAAUAAGCUUACACCUGAGCCACAGAGUGGAGUUUUUUUAGAGGAGAAAAUCCAUGAUCUAAAGAACUUGCGUUUUUUGGAUAUGGCCUCAGGUGAGUGCGUGACUUGAUGAGCAUCCUAUACUAGCUGCAUUGUGUGGGAGUGACCAGAACUUUGUUCUGUCUUAAUCUGAUGAUCCUCAUGGAACCACUCUGCCUCCCUCAUUAUAAGGUUUCUCCUUGUUUUUGUAGUAGUUCCUGGCAGUUAUUUAUUCCAGUAUUUGGAAACAGAUAGGUUCUCGAAAGAUACCACUCAAGCCAAUCCAGCCACAUUUAGAGGGGUUCCAUGACUAUACCUGAGACUAUGGAUAUAAGACCAAACAGCUCUGUCCUGGGAUAGGGCCAUUAGCUGGAAACCCAGUCUGAUCUUUCCAUGAGUGUCAUGGAAGCCUUCCACUCCUCCCCUCUCCAAAUUUAUUUAUGCAUUCAGAAAAUACUUAUUAGAUUCCUUCUAUAUGCCUGACAUUGGCUCAGUCUCUAGAAAUAAACUGGACAAAAUUCCUGAAGUCCUUGUCCUUCUAGAUAUUAGAAUCCCAUGAGAAUAUUCUGGAACAUUGCCAAUGGUGGCAAAUGGAGACAAUCUCUGUCUAGAACAAAGAUGGCUGUUUAACAUGGGCUCCCCACACCCAGAUGGGUUAUAGUGGAUAAACUUUAAAUUAAAUUUAGAGAGUUGUUUUAAUAUAUUUCUUCUAAUAGGAUAACUAUGGAAUGGAUCUAAAAUAAAGAAUUUCAAAUUAGAGAAUUAAGCCCAAUGAAAACCAUGAAAGAGAUUAGGUACUGAGUUAAUUUUUAAUUUUCCAAACAUCAUUUCAGAAACAAUAGCUCCCUGGCAUUGAACUGGAAUCUUUGAAAACUUUGCCUCUCCUUGAAAUUCCUGAUAUGACCUCAUAUUAUGGCAUUGUUAAAUAAUCUUAACAUUUUUGGGUGUAACCGAUUUAACAAGUUGACACUUGAUGCCUUUUAUACAAUGUGUCCCUAAGAGGAGCAAGACAGAACAGGACUGGAGAUUACAGCAUGGUGAUGGGAUUUAGGUUCUCACAUUUAGUUUCCAGAACAAUUCUCAUGCUCUGAUUUGGUCUGCAAUGCCUACAAGUUACCGAAACAAGUGGCUUAAAAAUUUAUCAAAGAAGGUAUCUGUCAUUUAAUCAAAACAGUUGAGUGUGAAUAAUUUGAUUAAAGUCCUUUUUUUCUAAUCAUCAUUUGAAAAACAUGCAUUAAGGGCUUACUAUGUGGCAGGCAUUGUAGAUAAUAGAGGCUGCUACCCGCCGAAGAGUUUUGCUUCCAGCAGAGCAAAGAGACUGCUUCCAGCAGAUCAGAGUGAGGGUGAGAAGUUGCGCAAGGUCGAAAGCCAGCCAGGAAGAUGUGACAAGGAGCCACUGGGAUUGCUCUAGUUGGGUGGUCCCUCCACUAUGGUGGGGGCUGGCCUACUACAAUUAUUUAAAAGUUGGUGGUGAUACACGUGAUCCAAGCUACUUUGGAGGCUGGAGGAUUCCAAGUUCAAGGCCAGUCUCAGCAACUUAGCAGAGACCCUGUCCCCAAAUAAAAUAAAAUGAUAGAUAAAAUAAUAAACUGGUUGUAUUUGAUUGGUGUUCAAAGCAGCCUUUAGAAGAAGGUUGUACAGCAUAAAAGAUAAGUGGGUAGAUGCUCAGAAUUCUCUCUCUAACCAGCUUUGCAAUGAAUAACUAUAUGAUUUUGGCCCUUUAAGUCCUUGGUUUCAUCACUAAGUUUAUCCCUAAGACUUGAUGGAAAGUCUCCAAAUCCUUUGGGUUGUUCUAACAUUUACACUGAUUAUAUGACUUGCUUGUGUUUUCAGGUCUCAAGAAGACCAAUGCUUGGUGAGGUUGCCCAUAGAAAGCUAAAAUCAGUAUAGUAUCUCUCUUAUUAACACUUAAGGUUUAAUUGUGUUCUGAUUCCUAUGGCUCUUUUUCAUACAUUUUUCUUUUAAUCUUCACCAAAACCCUGAAGAGUUGGAGAAACUGAAGUUUAUAGAAUUCAAGUAACAUGCCCAGUUUCACAGAGGCAGUGAACACAGGGUCUAUUCAUCAGGCUCUUAGCAAGUGACAGUUACUUAUGAUUGGAUUAAAACAGUCCCAUUCAAAGAUGUUGAGCUAGUGACCUCUAAUUUCCUUCCAAACACCAACGUUCUACAUUUGUCUCAUCUUCAAAGACCAUCCUGAAGUUGUCAAAAAAGUGAGUGUAUUUGUAGGUUAUUUUGUCCCAACUAAAAAUAUGAAACUUCUUGAGCCUUGAUGAAGACAGGACAAUGUAACUAAAUAUAUGUAAAAUGACGCUUCAGCCACUUAGAAAUGAAGGUAGCCACGUUUCCUCAUUGCAAAAUGGAAGAGCCACUUUGGAAAAUGUUUUGGCAGUUUCAUAUGAACAUAUGCUUACAUAUUGAAUUCCUAGGUAUUUAUAUAUACAAGAGAAAUGCAAAUCUGUACACAAAACCCGAAUACAGAUGUUUACAGGUAUUUUCUUCAUAGUUGCCCCAAACUGGAAACCCCAAUGUCCUUCAGCUUGUGAGUAAACAAACUGGUGUAUCUGUACAAUGGAACACUAUUCAG